AGAAGAUCCAGUGGGGUUGACCUCUAGAUCCACUGGGUUUUUCUCUAAUCGGCGUUUUGCAACAUUCGGCUUUUGAUUCGUGUGUCUGACCUCCUGGUUCCGUUUUCUGGCUUUUAUUGGCGUUUUGCAACAUUCGGCUUUUGAUUCGUGUGUCUGGUUUAGUACCGAUGGGGAUUCGGCUUUUGAUUCGUGUCUGAUUCGUGUGUUGGUGUUGGAUUCGUGUGUGUGAUGAAGAUGGAGCAGUGGAGAUACACAAUCCUGGGGAACUAACCUCAUGAAAGAAUGAAACUGGUUUCAAGUAGCAUUGGUUAUUGUUCAGAUCUGAAGGGGGAAGGUUUCUUUGCUCCCUUAUUUGGAUUGAAAACAAGCACAUAAUGUUGGGUGUGAAUCGGUUUCCGACAUCGCGUUUAUUCAGGUGGAUGGCCUUGCGCCACUCUUCCAGCAACCUUUUUGUUGGAG
Molecule: long non-coding RNA, 459 nt
Filed under: Helianthus annuus (common sunflower)
Lineage: Eukaryota; Viridiplantae; Streptophyta; Magnoliopsida; Asterales; Asteraceae
Source: RNAcentral